ACGAAUCUCCCAUGCCGUCAACUAAUCCCACAUUUAAUACAAGGAGUAAAUCUCGCCUGCAGACCAUCGUAACAACCUCAACACGUCAUGGGCGAGUAAAUCUCUCUUAUCUGACCCAUUCACCCCACACCAUCUCGAAUUCCAUGGGCAAGCUCAUCCCUAAGCUCGGCCACCGCGACGGCUAGAUCCGCCGCCAUCCUCCUCAGCACCAAAAACUAGCUACUGCUACUGCUGAUCCACCUCCCCGGUGCGCCGUCCCGCGGCUACUGCUGAUCCACCUCGCCGGUGCACCGUCCCGUCGCUGCUCUGUCAUUCCCUGAUUUGAACCACCUUUGCCGCCCCGGUCCCCUACCAGGCCUGCCCCGUCGCCAUCGCUCCCACCUCGUUGGCGCGUCGUAUUGGUUCGGCAAAGAAGCCCCGUGCGAAUCCCAACCCCUCCAUCCGGCGCGCGCAUGUACUCAUCCUCGACCUCGGGUUAGAUUCAUUUCAUCUUUGAUUUCACCCGUGUUUUGAUUUGCAUUACUACUUUGGUUGCAAUGCUUGCUUCGAUUAAAUUUGUUGAGUGUACCCAUGUUAUACCCGAUGCUUGGAGAACUCUCGUUCAAGAUCAAGGUUGGGAAAAUCUUCUAAAUAUAGGCUCCAUCUCAACUCUCAAUGGUCUCGUUGAAUGGUUAAUAUACAAGACUGAUCUGGAGGUUAUAGGGAUGUGGUGCUCACAACCAAGCACGAACAAUCACCACACCGAGAUUUCUAUGCAAUUGUUUGAAGCAUUGUAGUUGUAGAGUUAUUCUAUGUCUCUCUUGGAUUUGUCGUCGCAUGGUUAUGUACUAUGAUUGCAGGAAGCACAUAAGAAGUUAGUAAGAAGCAACACACACCUUGAGGAAACACGUCAGAAGUUAAAAAGAAACAUCAUUUCUGUCCACAUGGCGACAGUGCAAGGGACUGGGUCCUCACAUUUUGCUUGCAAUUUGUG
Long non-coding RNA from Hordeum vulgare subsp. vulgare (domesticated barley), 973 nucleotides. RefSeq lists it as uncharacterized. The record is from RefSeq and is a predicted model, not a curated record. The transcript is spliced from 3 exons. NCBI's taxonomy places the organism in Eukaryota, Viridiplantae, Streptophyta, Magnoliopsida, Poales, Poaceae.